RNAcentral lists this ribosomal RNA (253 nucleotides) under uncultured bacterium. Its description in RNAcentral is "partial 16S ribosomal RNA". It matches the Rfam family "Bacterial small subunit ribosomal RNA", at positions 524 to 776 of the family's 1533-position model. The record is from RNAcentral.
UACGGAGGUCUCAAGCGUUGUUCGGAUUCAUUGGGCGUAAAGGGUGCGUAGGUGGCGCCGUAAGUCAGGUGUGAAAUUUCGGAGCUUAACUCCGAAACUGCAUUUGAUACUGCGGUGCUUGAGGACUGGAGAGGAGACUGGAAUUUACGGUGUAGCAGUGAAAUGCGUAGAGAUCGUAAGGAAGACCAGUGGCGAAGGCGGGUCUCUGGACAGUUCCUGACACUGAGGCACGAAGGCCAGGGGAGCAAACGGG